RNAcentral lists this long non-coding RNA (583 nucleotides) under Olea europaea subsp. europaea. Lineage: Eukaryota; Viridiplantae; Streptophyta; Magnoliopsida; Lamiales; Oleaceae. The record is from RNAcentral.
UGAUUGCAGCAUUCAACCUGAUGUGAAUAGUGAAUUUUAAUGUAGCUAAGCAAGCUAGGAAUAGUGACCAGACUUGUUCCAAAGCUCUGUGCAACAGUCAUCAUAUCUGUCCUAUCUUCUCUCUUCUCUUGGAUUGCACCUUAGAGCAAGAUCUAGAAAUUCUUGAAGCAGAGAUCUUGCAACUGCAUCUCUGCUUCAUUGUCCCCUUCGCCUGUAAUUUUCUGAUCAACAUAAUGUUCGCCUGGUCCUCCUGAAAACAGAGUGACUUUACUACACCUAUUUAAAUGAUUCGCGGGAACUUUAGUCUGAUGGAAGCACAGAAUGAGGAUCAUUGUUCUGUUCGAUGAUGGAUACCUAUAUCUGAUCUUCUUAUGGUAGGAGAUUCCUAAUCAUUGUGAUAUGUGCUUCUUUUCCCAUGAUAUUCUUUGGAUGCUUUACAUCAUAUAGUCUUUCUUAGAUUGAAUAACCUUUCAGCCGAAUUAGGACCAUGAGUUGCCUCGUUUCAAUUACUUCCCCUUGCCAACUAUCAGUUCACUCAGAGUCUGAAUUCUCAUCUUAUUUCUUAUACAUUCCUUGACUUCCU